RNAcentral lists this microRNA (20 nucleotides) under Schmidtea mediterranea. Its description in RNAcentral is "sme-miR-754c-5p". Its record names the gene sme-miR-754c-5p. Lineage: Eukaryota; Metazoa; Platyhelminthes; Tricladida; Dugesiidae. The record is from miRBase by way of RNAcentral.
GUUGCUUGGGGUAUUACUAU